GAGGAAAUCGUAUCCAGAAGCCCCUUAGGAGAUCUCCCCUGACAUCUCAUCGACCGGAGCUGGGUUACAUGGUUACUCCGAGACCUGAGAGAAGCCGGGAGGCACAGCUCAAACGUUGCUCCCCUGUUGAGCCUUACCCCAGGCUGCCUGCGCUGAGGACCUGACCACGUUUCUCGUGCUUUCCUCCGCUGUCAGAAUUCAGCAUGAUGCCUGUAACGAGCCGGGUGUGGUGUAAGGCACACGGAGAUGGAGACCUGAUUCUGCAUAUAUUCAUUGGAGCUUAUGGACUUUAAAGUCAUUUCUUUCUCAAGAAAGCUUGGCUUCAAAGUUAUGGCCAAAAAUCUCGUUUUGAAAUUCAAAACUGGAAAUCGAUUCUUCUCUUUGCAAUCUUAUUGAACAAGGCCAAUCUUCUCUGAGGCAAAUAGAUGCCCCCAGCAUAAUAGAGGACGUCACAAACAUAGAAAUAUGAACAAAUGAACAUAGGAGAAAAUCUUAUUAUAUUUUUAAAAAUAUAAUUCCUUAAGAGAAUGGAGAGAUAAU
This 540-nucleotide long non-coding RNA is filed under the name Equus caballus (horse). RNAcentral's name for it is "lncRNA (ENSECAG00000058853.1)". The record is from RNAcentral. Lineage: Eukaryota; Metazoa; Chordata; Mammalia; Perissodactyla; Equidae.